UACGUAGGGUGCAAGCGUUGUCCGGAAUUAUUGGGCGUAAAGAGCUCGUAGGCGGUCUGUCGCGUCUGCUGUGAAAACUCAGGGCUUAACCCUGAGCUUGCAGUGGGUACGGGCAGACUAGAGUGCGGUAGGGGAGACUGGAAUUCCUGGUGUAGCGGUGAAAUGCGCAGAUAUCAGGAGGGAACACCGGUGGCGAAGGCGGGUCUCUGGACAGUUCCUGACGGCUGAG
RNAcentral lists this ribosomal RNA (229 nucleotides) under uncultured bacterium. RNAcentral describes it as "partial 16S ribosomal RNA". It matches the Rfam family "Bacterial small subunit ribosomal RNA", at positions 524 to 750 of the family's 1533-position model. The record is from RNAcentral.